UUAAAAUAAAGAAAAAUAAUAUCAUUAAAUUAAGUCAAAAGGUUUAAAGGUGAUAUCCUAUGAAUUCGGGAAAUUGCCAACUAUAUCUUAGAUAGUCACAUUUCUACCAAAUUGACGUAGAGCUUAAUUAAAUAUUCCAGAUGUUGCUAAAGUAUUCUCAUAUUGUCAACUGCGAAGUUCAACAUCUUUCGAUUUGCAGAACUGAUUCAAUCCAGUGGCUAACUCAUGGUCGUAUGUACGAUCCGUUCUGUCUAUUUUGAUUUAAUGUGACCAAAAGUUAAACUUCAUCUCGUGUAUAGUUAAAAGAUAUGAUAGUAUACAUACUAAAAAUGAGAAUUCUGGCAAACCAGAUUUAAAUCAAUAACAUGUUACUCUUGCUUGCGACAAUAUAAGUAAAUGUGGGCAAGAAAGAUGAAGAAGUAUUAGAAACAAGUUGCGGCUAAAUUUUGAGAAAGGAUUGAUAGCGGAAAGGCUACUAAUAGUAAUGAUAUGAGCUAUUAUU
Molecule: non-coding RNA, 502 nt
Organism: Schizosaccharomyces pombe (fission yeast)
Lineage: Eukaryota; Fungi; Ascomycota; Schizosaccharomycetes; Schizosaccharomycetales; Schizosaccharomycetaceae
Source: the annotation of a GenBank genome assembly